GAGUUUGAUCCUGGCUCACAUUGAACGCUGGCGGCAUGCUUUACACAUGCAAGUCGAACGGCAGCACGGGGGCAACCCUGGUGGCGAGUGGCGAACGGGUGAGUAAUAUAUCGGAACGUACCCGGAAAUGGGGGAUAACGUAGCGAAAGUUACGCUAAUACCGCAUAUGCCCUGAGGGGGAAAGCGGGGGAUUCGUAAGAACCUCGCGUUUUCGGAGCGGCCGAUAUCGGAUUAGCUAGUAGGUGAGGUAAAGGCUCACCUAGGCGACGAUCCGUAGCUGGUCUGAGAGGACGACCAGCCACACUGGAACUGAGACACGGUCCAGACUCCUGCGGGAGGCAGCAGUGGGGAAUUUUGGACAAUGGGCGAAAGCCUGAUCCAGCCAUGCCGCGUGAGUGAAGAAGGCCUUCGGGUUGUAAAGCUCUUUCAGCCGGAAAGAAAACGCAUGGGUUAAUAACCUGUGUGGAUGACGGUACCGGAAGAAGAAGCACCGGCUNAACUACGUGCCAGCAGCCGCGGUAAUACGUAGGGUGCGAGCGUUAAUCGGAAUUACUGGGCGUAAAGCGUGCGCAGGCGGNUUUGUAAGACAGAUGUGAAAUCCCCGGGCUUACCUGGGAACUGCAUUUGUGACUGCAAGGCUAGAGUACGGCAGAAGGGGGUAGAAUUCCCGUGUAGCAGUGAAAUGCGUAGAUAUGUGGAGGAAUACCGAUGGCGAAGGCAGCAAGCGGUGGAUUAUGUGGAUAAUUCGAUGCAACGCGAAAAACCUUACCUACCCUUGACAUGCCAGGAACUUGCCAGAGAUGGCUUGGUGCUCGAAAGAGAACCUGGACACAGGUGCUGCAUGGCUGUCGUCAGCUCGUGUCGUGAGAUGUUGGGUUAAGUCCCGCAACGAGCGCAACCCUUGUCAUUAAUUGCCAUCAUUUAGUUGGGCACUUUAAUGAGACUGCCGGUGACAAACCGGAGGAAGGUGGGGAUGACGUCAAGUCCUCGUGGCCCUUAUGGGUAGGGCUUCACACGUAAUACAAUGGUCGGUACAGAGGGUUGCCAACCCGCGAGGGGGAGCUAAUCUCAGAAAGCCGAUCGUAGUCCGGAUCGGAGUCUGCAACUCGACUCCGUGAAGUUGGAAUCGCUAGUAAUCGCGAAUCAGCAUUGUCGCGGUGAAUACGCUCCCGGGUCUUGUACACACCGCCCGUCACACCAUGGGAGUUGAUUGCACCAGAAGUAGGUAGCCUAACCGCAAGGAGGGCGCUUACCACGGUGUGCUCAAUGACUGGGGUGAAGUCGUAACAAGGUAGCCG
RNAcentral lists this ribosomal RNA (1298 nucleotides) under uncultured beta proteobacterium. RNAcentral's name for it is "partial 16S ribosomal RNA". It matches the Rfam family "Bacterial small subunit ribosomal RNA". Lineage: Bacteria; Pseudomonadati; Pseudomonadota; Betaproteobacteria. The record is from RNAcentral.